RNAcentral lists this ribosomal RNA (253 nucleotides) under uncultured prokaryote. RNAcentral describes it as "partial 16S ribosomal RNA". It matches the Rfam family "Bacterial small subunit ribosomal RNA", at positions 524 to 776 of the family's 1533-position model. The record is from RNAcentral.
UACAGAGGGUGCAAGCGUUGUUCGGAAUUACUGGGCGUAAAGCGCGUGUAGGCUGCAAUGUAAGUCGGAUGUGAAAGCCCUUGGCUUAACCAAGGAAGUGCAUCCGAUACUGCAUCGCUUGAGUGUCGGAGGGGAUGGCGGAAUUCCCGGUGUAGAGGUGAAAUUCGUAGAUAUCGGGAGGAACACCUGUGGCGAAGGCGGCCAUCUGGACGAUAACUGACGCUGAGACGCGAAAGCGUGGGUAGCAAACAGG